GUGUAGGGCCGGCCCAGCGACUUGCUGUAACUAAUGGAAGGUGGCAGAAGUGACUGACGGAUCCGGGUCUAAGCCUUAAGGACUAGAAGCUUCUGCUUUUACUUAUUUAGGACCCCUGAGCGGACAUGUAAGAAGUCCAACCAUGUUCCUGAAGAGACCACAUGGAGAUGCCAUGUGAGAGAGAAGCUCUCAAACUACAUACAAGAGAACUGAGGAGCCCAGCUGACAGUAAGGACGGAGGCCCCACACGUAGGAUCCCAGUGGAGCCGUUAGAGCCAGCUGUGGAGGUGUCUUAGCCGAGCACGAAGAAGUAUCAAGGACAGAUCACAGAGAUAAAGAAAGUGAAGCCGGAUCUUUGGGAAUUGGAUAUGGCUUCUCAACUACACAUCUGGGAUUAGAGAAAGACUCUGCUUGAAGUUUCCAUCUUGGAUUAUUUUAACAGCCUGUGUCAUAGGCUUCUGUCUCCGAUCAACGUACUCAGCCUGUUGUUCUCAGCCAGCUUCCCUGAACGGCAACUUUCCUCCUGUUACUGAGGUUAAAAAUCUUUACAUACAACCCCU
RNAcentral lists this long non-coding RNA (560 nucleotides) under Equus caballus (horse). Its description in RNAcentral is "lncRNA (ENSECAG00000048888.1)". Lineage: Eukaryota; Metazoa; Chordata; Mammalia; Perissodactyla; Equidae. The record is from RNAcentral.